RNAcentral lists this ribosomal RNA (428 nucleotides) under Verrucomicrobiota bacterium. Its description in RNAcentral is "Verrucomicrobia bacterium partial 16S ribosomal RNA". It matches the Rfam family "Bacterial small subunit ribosomal RNA", at positions 355 to 776 of the family's 1533-position model. Lineage: Bacteria; Pseudomonadati; Verrucomicrobiota. The record is from RNAcentral.
UAGGGAAUCUUCCGCAAUGGACGCAAGUCUGACGGAGCAACGCCGCGUGAGUGAAGAAGGUUUUCGGAUCGUAAAACUCUGUUGUAAGAGAAGAACAAAUUGUAGAGUAACUGCUACAGUCUUGACGGUAUCUUACCAGAAAGCCACGGCUAACUACGUGCCAGCAGCCGCGGUAAUACGUAUGGGGCUAGCGUUAUCCGGAUUUACUGGGCGUAAAGGGUGCGUAGGUGGUCUUUCAAGUCGGUGGUUAAAGGCUACGGCUCAACCGUAGUUAGCCUCCGAAACUGGAAGACUUGAGUGCAGGAGAGGAAAGUGGAAUUCCCAGUGUAGCGGUGAAAUGCGUAGAUAUUGGGAGGAACACCAGUAGCGAAGGCGGCUUUCUGGACUGCAACUGACACUGAGGCACGAAAGCGUGGGUAGCAAACAGG